Long non-coding RNA from Patiria miniata (bat star), 207 nucleotides. RefSeq lists it as uncharacterized. Lineage: Eukaryota; Metazoa; Echinodermata; Asteroidea; Valvatida; Asterinidae. The record is from RefSeq and is a predicted model, not a curated record. The transcript has 3 exons.
CUUUUAUCACAAUCUUGAAAGGAAAACUUCAAAACCAAUCUGGGGUUGAUCCAGAGAAGCAACAUCGUUUCACCAGACGACACGACAAGCCCCGUGAUGAGCAAGAUGCUAACAUAUAGAUACACCUGGUAUCCUGGCUGAUGGGCAGAGCUGUCGGUGAACAGAAAUCAGCAGGAAGAACACGAAAGACAAGAAUGACGAAGAUGA